This 446-nucleotide ribosomal RNA is filed under the name uncultured bacterium. RNAcentral describes it as "partial 16S ribosomal RNA". It matches the Rfam family "Bacterial small subunit ribosomal RNA", at positions 338 to 795 of the family's 1533-position model. The record is from RNAcentral.
CCUACGGGGCGCUGCAGUCGAGAAUCAUUCACAAUGGGGGAAACCCUGAUGGUGCGACGCCGCGUGGGGGAAUGAAGGUCUCCGGAUUUUAAACCCCUGUCAUGUGGGAGCAAAUUAAAAAGAUAGUACCACAAGAGGAAGAGACGGCUAACUCUGUGCCAGCAGCCGCGGUAAUACAGAGGUCUCAAGCGUUGUUCGGAAUCACUGGGCGUAAAGCGUGCGUAGGCUGUUUCGGAAGUCGGGUGUGAAAGGCGAGGGCUCAAUCCGCGGACGGCACAUGAUAAUGCGAGACUAGAGUGAUGGAGGGGCAAGCGGAAGUCUCGGUGUAGCGGUGAAAUGCGUAGAUAUCGGGAGGAACACUCGUGGCGAAGGCGGGUUCCUGGACAGUAACUGACGCUGAGGCACGAAGGCCAGGGGAGCGAAAGGGAUUAGAUACCCCGGUAGUC